CCUGCCCAUCUCCUCCUCUCUCAAUUUUUGCAGCCACCAAACCCUAGCCGCCCCCCCCCCCUCAAUCCCCUCCUCCCAAGGUGCCAAUCCUUGCCGCUCGGAUCGUCGUCUCGUGGUGCGAUUCUCCAACCGUUUUGGUGGAGGGAAGAAGGGAGGAAGGAAAGGGGGAGAACCCAAGGUGAUUUUUGUGUUCAUCCCUUGUUCAUUUGCGCUGCGAUUCAAUUGAUUAGAUGUUGCGUUUGCGAUUAGAUAGAGGGGGGCUGUCCAGAACUUUACGUGGUGGAUGAACAGCGGAAGUUCUAGCAGUUUUUAGGGUUUUUUCGUGAAGAAUUAAUGGGGAUCAAUUUGGGGAUCUUGUAUAACUUUGUUUUACCUUUCCAACGAGUAUUUAUGCGCUCAAUUUGGAGUUAUAAAUUAAAAGUUAUCAUCGUUUGAAUCCGGGUGUGUGGCUGUCCAAAAAAAAACAGAUUAUUCAGAGUGAUGAACAGCAGCAGUAUUAGCAGUUUCUGGGGAUUUUUCGGGAGUAAUUAGUGUUAAUUAGUAUGAGAAUCAUGUAGGGCUUUUUCUUAUCUUUCCAACAAGUACUUAUGCGCUCAAAUCGGAAUUAUAUUUUAAAAGUUAUCGCUGUUUGAAUCCGAGUAUGUCGCUGCCCAAAUCAGAAAAAAAAACAGAUUGCAGGGUUUAUUUUGUGGACCGUUUAGAGGUAAUUAGAUGUUAGAACUUAAUCAUGAGUUGUAUACAAAACUUGUGGGGAAUUUUAUGUAGUUGUCUCUGAAGUUUUUGUUUGACACCACUGCUGUCCUAAUUUUUAAGUUAUGGAAUUGUUAAGCAGCGCCGCUGCAGUUUGGUUAGUGAGGGGAGAAUUGUUACCGCGGCGGGGUUUGAGAUUGCGCGUAGGUGCGGUGUUGUCUUUGAGUUUUUUUAUGUGAAUUUGGUGCACUAAGUUGGGUGUCAAAAACAGGUGGUGGACUUCCAGAUCGUUCUUAG
RNAcentral lists this long non-coding RNA (987 nucleotides) under Zea mays. RNAcentral's name for it is "long non-coding RNA (ZMAY_LNC002553)". The record is from RNAcentral. Lineage: Eukaryota; Viridiplantae; Streptophyta; Magnoliopsida; Poales; Poaceae.